UAUCACGCUAAAACACUGAAGUUAAGUACCGUCGAGCCUGGUCAGUAGUUAGAUGGGUGACCGCUUGGGAAUACCAAGUGCUGUAAG
This is a non-coding RNA of Acanthosepion pharaonis, 87 nucleotides long. The record is from the annotation of a GenBank genome assembly. NCBI's taxonomy places the organism in Eukaryota, Metazoa, Mollusca, Cephalopoda, Sepiida, Sepiidae.